CUCCUUCUCAGUUAAUUUGGUUAUUAGAGAGGCUGUAGCAGAUGUUAAACCUCUGAGAAGAGCGAUCUGAGGGGGUAGAGAGGUUUUUGUGGAGGAAUCUGAGUGCCCUUACCUGUGCGGUGUGGUUCUGGGAAGGUGAUGAGCUCAAACCUGGGCCUUGUAAAACUCAGGCCUCACUUAACUGUGAAGAUAAGAUCUGGUGGUUGUGCAUGAAGUUGGGCUGCUGGUCUCAGAGGAAUGUGGUGUGUGGAUCCAGCAGUAUGCAGGCAGGGCAGGGCUCCUGCCUGGGGCUGAUGGCUAUUCCCACGUUGGACAUCUUGAUUUGGUGUCAGGGGACCUGCAGACGACUGAUGCUCUCAAGCACAGCUGUAAAAUGGCUUAAUGGCU
Molecule: long non-coding RNA, 387 nt
Organism: Lagopus leucura (white-tailed ptarmigan)
Lineage: Eukaryota; Metazoa; Chordata; Aves; Galliformes; Phasianidae
Exons: 3
Source: RefSeq, a predicted model, not a curated record